GGGAGACACAGUUGCUCAUUUAGAACUAAAAGAGAACAUGUCCUGUGUCUGAAAAGCCAAUACAGAAAAUACUACAGCAAAUCAUGUGCCUGCAGCAUUACUGAAGUGAUUUUUUCAGCUCUGCUAAUAGUGGCAAGGGAAGAAAUAAAGCAAUGCUGCAGGCACUGACUGGACUACAAUUUCAGCUCAGAGGAAAGCUACAGGAUCAAGAGUGGACAGACAAGCACUCUCAAGAAGAAGCCCAUGCACACUAUUCACAGUGUCAUAUGCCAGUUCCACAGUAUCCUGGGUUCAAUGGAUUUUUUCCGGUGGGAGCACACUUUUCAUCAGACAAAGCUCCAGCAAUCUCAGAGGUACCUGUAUUACCGCCAGAUAUUUACAAAGCAGAUUGCUGAUCACUGUGUUAUCUGCAGAAAGCUAUUCUUAAUUGUAACAUAUUGAGCUUGUUUUGAAGUGCACGUAAAUGAAAUCCAGGUGGGAGGUGUGGGGUUAACCUGUUGGAGUUAACAUGGUCUAAAAAAAUAUGUAGGGCUCAAAUAAGCAAGUGAUAGAGUGUUACCUAACUAGGUCUUGUUCCCAUUCUGCCCCAAAACAUAAGCGUUAAACCAUUAAUUUUAGGAUCAACUCUCUAACCAUCUGGGGUGACAAUUUACACUCCACCUUCCCUUUGGAUAGUGCAAUGUCUCUGGAGUUUUCUUUCCACACCAUGCUGUAAUUCCAGGCAGCAGACAGGCUGAGGUCCAGCUGGCAGGGAGCAGGAACAGGGCUCAGCAGCUCCAUGUCUGCUCCCUUACCCUGUGACAGAACAGGCAGCUUCCCAUGACAUGGGGAGAGAGGACGCUGCCUUGUGGUAAGUCUAUGUCUGGCAGAUGUGUUCUUGACAUCAGCCAUUUGAGAAUACAGUUUUUUUCAUGCACUGCUGUUGGCAGCCUGAGGUGGUCCUGGACUGAGGUCUGGUCUCCAAGCUCCAAGGACAAGCGAUGGGGCACUGGUUUGGUACAGUGGCCACAGUGUUUGGUACAAUAUCGCAAAGGCUGCCCAGUCUUUGGCAUCAGCAGGGCCUGGGCAGGGAUGCAGAACAGCCCUUUGUCAGUCAUACCAUCUCUUGCAAGCCUUGCAAGAAUGGAUGCUAUAAAACCAUCAUAGAACAGAUCAGAUGAUGCCACCAUAUUUCUAUCUGUUGAAAAGGGAAGUAACUGUGGUAUUUCAGAUACCACAUGGUGGCAGCUGUUGAUAAAGGCUGAUGUUAAUUUGGUGUUCAUUUUUAAAGCUGAAGAAUGAUUAAUUGCAGUGAAUGGAGCAGCCAGAUAGCCGUUACAGAGGUGUUACAUCAAGAAUGUUCUGAUAGCUUGGUAUCUGAUGCACUGACUCUUUCUUUCUCAUUUAGCAUUGGUAAGGAAAAUAAAAAGAUAAGUAGAGAUUCAGCUGCUAUCCAAACUCUGAAUCCAACAAUGAAUAUUUUAAACCUUUCUUUGGCUGCUAAUGAACUUUCCCUCCAGUUCUUGCCACUCCCUUUCUCUUCUGGGCUCCCUUCACUCUUCUGUUCCUCCAGUACUCCUCACUCUAGCCUGGGGAAAAGAAGUUUGAGAAAAAUAAUAAAGUUUUUAUUUAUUCCUUACAGCUUUUCUGCCCCUGUGGGCAUUUGUCUGCCUGUCUGGCUAAUGUGCUGUAAUGAAUCUGCUCUCUGCCACACACACAUGUAUCAUCCUAUCAAUCAGUGAGAGGAAAUGCUGAGUAUGGUGAGCGCUAACAAGCACUCAGAGGGGUCAGUAUACCAGUGCACUACAGUGGCAAGCUACUUUCCCUACAGGCUGCUUUAAUUGGGGGAGCAUAAAUGAGAAAGCAUAUGGCUGGCACCAUGUCCUCUUGCCAAUCUCCCCACUUUGGCAAAAUGACUCUCUUUGCUUUGAUUUUUUCAGGGCAGUGCUGACCCUCUUAUGGCUCCUGCUGGAAGGCAAAUCCCUUCCAACUCUUUGGAAGUCUCUGGGUUAACUGGGGCAAAUGGAGAUGCUGGAGGAGCUCACUUGCAGGGGCUGGUGUGUAAUCAAAGGUUGCUGAAGAACCUGUAGGGAGAACACUUCUUUGCAGGUUGGAAAUCACCAGAAGUGGGAAAAGGUGGAGAAAAAUUAAGGAGGGGGCUGAGGAAAAGUAAAGCAAGGGGAGUGAUGGCACAGAGAAAUGGUGAAGGAAAUGGGAGAGAAGGAAACUGGAAGGGCUGAGGGAAAAUGGUGAGAAACCCAACGAGAGGAAAAGAAUAAAGACGUAAUUACAAAAAAGAUGUGGAAAGUCAUAUAUUAAUAUUACUGGAGAGAAAUACUAGAAGUAGAAAAAAAAAGAGAAAGCUAAAAAUUUUGCUCUGCAGAAGUCAGGGCGGACAAGAAGCAACAUCUCCAAAAGGUCUCAAAGAAGAUCAGGUUACCAGAGGGAUUUUUCAAAGGCAGGUUUCAGGUUUUAGACAAGAAAUCAUGCCCAACCCAUAAUUAAAUAGCAGUGUUUUAAGUUAUAUUCCUAUACGCAGGUUGACUUCUAGACAUGAUUUCUUUUUACCCGUUUGUGGGCUGCCAGCAUGCCAUUAAGGACUGAUUGUCAUUGCUCUGUAAUAAGACUUAUGAUUGAGUAAAUUUUCUACUGGAGGCUUCACAGCAAAGCCAAUAUGUCUUUUGUUGUCUGUCUGAAAGGUGAAAAGGGAUUUACUAGGAAGAAUGGAGGAAUUGUAAAUUUCUGCAGGAUUAUAAAGUCUAAGGUGGGAAUUUGGGGUUAACAGCAUGAAAGGACAGAUCACUACGCCUUUCUGAAAAUCCCAUGUUUUCUUUGCAUGGACUGAAGUUCUGGUUUUGAUAGGUGUAAUGCAUUUACAUGGCAGUCAAAUGAUAAAAAUAUCUUAAAGCAGUUUUUCAUUGCUCAGAAUGAGAACUAAUGAGGAAGCCAUUUUGAGUGAAGCGCUGUCCUAAAAUACAAUUGAGAACACAGUUUUUGAGAUCAAGGAUUUGGAAAGGUAGCAAGAAAGGGUUAAUUUGGUGGUUUAGAAAAGCAGUAGCAAAGGCUUAGGAAAGAGAAUUCAAAGUCUGAUAUUCAUGCUGAGGCCUCUUUUUGUGAUGCAAAACCUGGAUCUAGAUUAAUUUCUAUGUUGAUCAAGGAGAGUCACCUGUACUCCCCAAGAAGGCAGGUUAACCUAUAGAAAGAGCAGAAGACAUAAAAGAGCUGUUAGAUUUUCUCCUGUAGUAAUUGUAAGCCCUAUAAAUGAAGAAACAUUGGCUUUAGCAAACAUCUGGAUUGGAAAUUUUGAAAGAAAAUGCAGAGGAAAGUAGGAUGCCAUUUAUGACUCAAAAAAUGUGACUUCUGCUCUUGAAUGAGUGCCUGAUGAGGUACUGAGCAACAUGUGGUGAGAAGUUCCGUCCUUCCAUCAGUGAGCAAACGACAGGUUCCUACUCUCUGUGCUUAUGCCCUGCUGCCCUUUUCUCAGGACUGUUCCAGUAUCUUAGUCAAUGUUUAGCUUAGACAAUGACUAGAAACACACUUUGAAGGAAAAUUUGUUUUCUUUAGGAAUGGCUUUCAUCAAAUGUUAGUGCUGGAAAUUUUAGUUUUCUAUUAUUCAAGGAAUCAAUCAAAGCAAAUGUAUUAUUUAACAUUUCAGGUUUCCAGUUAUCUAGUUCCUUCUCUCAUCCUUAAAUGGAUACGUUUGAGUGGAGGUUAAAUUAUUUAAUAUAUAUAUUCCUUUUCCAGCCUCUCCUUCUCCGUGGCAUGCUGUUUGGCUGUCAUUGUUGGACUGUGUAUUCGCAAGUUCAGGAUUGUGUAUGUCCUUUGUAAAGACCAUUGGCAAAUUUUAGGUAAAAAGAACAAUAGUAUAUUAUAAGAAUUACAAUUGGUAAAACCAGAAAUACUCAUUAAAAUACAAAAAUUCAAAACAAGAACUCUUCCCUGGUGAGAAGGUGUUAUGACUGGAAGAACUCUGUUGUUAUGGCAAUAUUUUAAAAGAGUGAACAGUUUGUUCAUCAUAAAUAGCAAAAGAAUGGCUGAUAUAGGACUUGCUCAACAAAGAACAAAAGAAAGAUGAAUGUGGCUUGUGUAAAACUGAUUCUGUCAAACUAACUUUGUGUUUUGAUGCAAUUUCAAGUUUGUUGAUAGAGGUAAGAGUGUUAAUAUAAUAUAGUCAGAAUUAUUCAAGGUGUUUGAUUAGUAUCCAUGGCAAAUUAACUUUCCAUGCGAUAAUUGCAUUAAUUAACUAAAUAACUUGCAGAUGUAAAAAUGGAUUUGGAAGUAGGGGAUCAUUACUGAUUUCAGCAUAGUCCUUUGGAGUAGCACAAGAGUAAGUUCUUGGUCCAGUGCUACAUGAAUGUAUCAUGAACUACUGAAAACAGUUUACACGUUUAAGUGACUUCUUUGCUGAAGAAGCAGAAAAGAGUGUACAAAAAUUCCACCAGUAUGAAAGAGCAUGAGCUUUUCAAAUUGUCAAACUGUGUGUGUAACUGAAAAAUGUGUAUUUUAUUAAGAAAUACGAAAAAUGCAGAAAAUGAAAAGCUCUGUCAGGCCAUAACAAGAUGGAGUACUUUAUCCUGGGAACCUGUAACUUUGUCAAAGACUUGGGAGUCAGAGACCUUGAUAAAUUUAAAAUGAGCUGCCAGAGCAGCAUUGCAGCAAAAUAAUUAAUCAAAUGUGUAUAUCUAAACAUGUAAACAAAUAAAUAAAUAAAUAUUGCUUUAAUAGGACCAGGAAUACUGCUGUACCUGUGUAUUUGGGGCUGGUCUGACCAUUACUGGAUUCUGUGUCAAGUCAGAUCUCCCCAGAUCUAGUAAGAAGGUAAGGACUAGGCAAAGAGUCCAGAAAAUUAUUGAAGUGUGAAAAUACAUGAAUUAUCAUAAAAGAGUUGAGGAAUACCAUCUGUUUAACUAAUGUAAAAUGAACUUUAAAGGUGACCUGCAGAAAACACAUCAAUAGCUGUAGAGACACCAAAAUGCUGAGAAUAGGCUCUCCAACACCCACAGCAGAGGUGUGCAGGGGACAGUGGCUGGCAGUUGAAACUGGAGUCCCUGGAUAAGAGUCUUUUCACCUGAUUUCAGGCAUCUGCAAGGUAGGUAUUUGACAAAUACUUUUCCAAUAGCUCCCAGUGAGGCCAGAGUGAUUCUUGACUGCAUAUACUGAGAAAAGCUCUGCAAAAGGGUCUAUCUGUUAACCAUUUUAAAAUCCCCACCGUACUACAAUCAUCUAGAUGAGUGGCUAGGGAGAAAAAUACUAUUGCAGUGACCUGGUACACUGAGAAAGCUUGGAGGUAAGCUUCUCCAAAACAUGUCUAUAAAUGGCUACAUUUAUUUUGGAAAGAGUUGUUUUAAAGCUGCUGGGGCUUAAUUUCAAUAGUUACUAUUUUAGAAACUUUCUGUAGGUAAAUUUUUUUAUUUAAAACCAGAAUAAGUCCGGUUCAGACAUUGUCACGUAGGAAGUCAUAGCUUUUUCACACUAUUCUGAAAGUCACAAAUACCUGUUAUACUUAAAAGUCCUGGAUUGCCUGGCCUUAUAUUUCCUGUGUAGGGAGUCUCAUUUACCCUGUACCUGCUACGCUGACAUCUUUCCAGUUCCUUUUUUUAUGUCGUCUGUUAGUUGCAGUGACUCCCCCUGUUUCAUACAGCAGUGCAAACACUUCCCGUAGCCUGUUUCAUUUUUGGUGGCUAAGUAUAUACUUUGAUAGAUUUUGAUAGAUUAGGAAACAGUAUAAAAGGGAGAAAAGGAUGGCAGUGUCUUACUACUCCCACAAAUAUACAUAAUUUGAAAGCAUGAAGACGCACUAUAUGUUCAAGAACAUCCUUUUUGGAUCCAGGUAUAUAUCUCAUCUGCCUCUGUAGGUUCUGUGACACCAUCUUGGGGCUUUGCCACACAUCUCCUGUGUAAAUGAAGUAUUAGCAGCACACAGGAAUACAAAGAUACUUAAGCCAGAAUAGACCAGCCACCCAUACAGCUCAAUAAUCUGUUUCAGAAUCCUUCUUUGGGAUCUUCCCUAUCUCUGAAACAAGUGUCUAAAUCUGAACGAGAUGCUUUAGCACCUUUUUGUGGGCAGUGGAGCAAGCGUGCCCUUUUAAGACCCCAUUUAUCUGCCUUAUCUUGGGUGUUUACUUUCAAGUAAGAUGGAUUGAACCCUCAAAGUGCCCUUUUUCUUCCUGUUGACUGAAAAAAGUCUAGAUAAUUAGCUUGGAUGUAGACAUCUUCAUUUUCUCACACAUGUAAAGUCAAAUGAUUUCCACCUCUAUGUCUUUUGCUUCAGAGAAAGGAUGAAAGUCUCAAACCUUCUUGCUUCCACUUUAAAAUUAGCUUAUGAGCUGAUGCUUGAGGGUUAAAAUUUAAUUUUGUGUCAAAUUACCACAAGUAAUUAAGGUUAUUAUGCUUUUAAAGUCUUCCUGAACUGUUUGCUGGAGCAGUUUCUAGCAGCACAGUUGUGUUCACUUAAUUCAGAUAGAUUGUUUCACAGCAGUCAUUUGAAAUAUGCUGCUUUUCAGUUUUAUGGACUAUAAUGUACUAUUUUAAUGUAAUACUUACAUUUAUUGAUAUUAAUAAAAUAAUUAGAUUGAUAUUGAUAUUUAUAUCAUGAAAAAGAGUAUAUAGAGAAGAAGAAAGGUAGAAAUGAGGUGAUGGUGUUCAGAAAUAAGAGGGAAAUGGGAAAUGGAAUGGAGAGCAAAAUAUUUUUUUGAAGAUCUGGAAAGAGGAGGAGCAGAAUAGAGAGGAAAAAAUACGGGUAAGUGGGAAAAAAAUAGAGACAUCUGUGUAGGAUCCUCAGGCUCACUCAUUAUUUUGUAGACUUUUAGAAUCUCUCUUCUUCUCCUUUUUAAACUUCACAGACUUCUUCUUUUUAACCUUACGGUGUGUAAAGUCCACAGUUUCUAUUCUUCUUCCCAUAUACCUCAUCACUUUUUGUCAUUUUUUUAGACCUUUUAUUUUUGCUAUGUCUAUUCUUGCACACACCUCUUCACAUCUGAGUACAGCUGUUGACCUACUUCUGUGUGAUAAUUCCCAUAGCAUGGGAAACACUGAUGUCGCUGCUACUGAGAGUAAGUUCAGUAGGUCCAUCACCUUCAUCAGUUGAAGAAAGCAUUAAUGCUGGAUCAAAAUUUGAUUUUUGACUCAAAAUUAGAAUCACAGGUAACAAUUCUCUGAGGUCCUGAAGCUGUCUACUAUUAGGAUGGUUCAGUCUAAAAUGUAUUGUAUUUCUUUGUAUGAAGGAGGCCAAGUGUGGAAGAGAGGUGUCAGAAGAGAAGUGGUCAUGCUUUUAUCAUAGGAUCUUUUGAUUUCUUCCCCUGUAUUCUCAGCUCAGGGCUCUGAGAAGUCUGUCCACACUUGCACAUUUAAGUGUGUCCAGGACAUAUCCAGGCAGUGAUCCUCUCCGCACCUCUUAGGAAGGUACUUGUCACAGUUUUAGCCUAUGCCAACUACUGCUCUCCCUCAAUGAGGUUUGGCAGUUACAAGGUCCUGGGACAGUUCAUAAUUGACAUUUUGGAAAUAGUCAUGUUCUUGUGAUUGGUAAAGCAUUUACUGACAAAAAUAUGGGCUCUUCCAUGACUUCUGGGCUCAGUGCCCACUGCCAUUCCCAAGCAUAUAAAUUUUACGAAGAAAAUGAUACCUUGAGAGUCCUGUAAAUCCUCUCUUUUUACAGCCAUGUGCAGUUCAGUGUACAUUUCAAGAUGGGUGGUGCAAAAAGGGGCAGAACCCAUUUGCAAGGAGGGAUAAACAGGUGUGUUGUUGUUGUUUUUCCAUGGGGAAUCUUAACAGGUCCCAACUGGAUUCACAAAGGUUUUGUAAUUUUAAAGUACGGAACGGUAGCGCAAAGGCUGCUGGCCUUACGUGGAGAGUGUGCAGGCUUUUUCAGUGUUAAUGAAAGGAGACUCAAUUUCUUGUCACAGAGAAAAUUAAUUAGCUCCACAGACUUGCAAAGCAGAUCAGCAUUUUUUGAAAUUCUAGCCCAGGAUUAACAGCAUAACAGGCCUCUCAGCUUCCUGUUGACUUCAGUAGAAAGGUAAGAACAAUGAUGGAAGUUAGGAGUCUGAUAUAAGUCUAUACUUGACAGUCAUGCUAUUCCUGAACUGACAAAUGGCAGCCAAGCAAGUAGUAGUCAAGCUGAAGGGUCACUAGGGAAAAAAGAGCUUUGAAACAGUAGUGCUACUCUCUAUGACAAGGACUAUAGUAAUUGAAUUUUGAAGAGACCUGCCUGUUCAGAUAUUAAGAAUUAUACACUAUAUUAGUAAUUACAUAACAGAUGAUACUAAUGAUUCUUAUGCAAGUGUUUGUUAAACCUGUAAUUCAGAUUUAAUGAAUAACCAAUGACCUUUUUUACAAGAAGGAAACCCACACUUCAUUUGUAAGAUUAAUCUUAUUUAGAGCAAAAAUUCUCCCUCUGUAUAGCUGACAAUAUUCAGCCUAAAUUAGCAUCUGUUGAAGUGAGCAGUUGAGCUUCAUCUGACAUUUAUUAGGACAAAGGUAUAAAGGCUGUGCUGUGGCACUACCAUUUAAUUGUCAGGGCAAUUAGUUGCCACUUUGGAUAUCAGAAUUGUCACUGAGUUACAAAAAAAAAUUAAGGGAAGAAGCUGUUGGUUGUUAUGAAGACCCAGAUGAAAUGGUUUCCUUUUUAACUGGAAAUUAUGUCUGAAUUUUAUACUGCUCAUAAAACCGAGAAUCUGAUGGCAUAGACUGGACCCGGGCAUAACAAGAAAAAGUUAAUAAUUUUAACAGUGGUUGGUCUACUUGUGACUUCAAACCAACUCUGACUUUUAUAAAAAAUGUAUAAAUUACUGGAUGCUAGGGGCAAAGUCCCUGUAGUGUUUAUGAUUCCCUUACCUCCCUAGAAAACUCAGGAUUAUUUAUUUUCUUUUAAACUGUAUUAAUAUAUUAAUAAUAAAAGACUUUGUGUCCUCAUGCAUUAUUCUGUGAGUCUUAGUUCAUUUUCUCUGCAGUUUACGUAGAUCUCCUUAAGCAAAUCAGAUGUGCAAGUUGUCCAACAGUUUGACUCUUAUCUCUUACUACAAGAGCUUUCUUAUUUUGAAAAAUAUUCAUAUAGUUACAUUCUUUCAACAUACAAGUAAACUAGCCAUUGCAGGGGAGACUACCCUUCAACUGCCCCCUUUUAUUGGUCUCUUUGUUCUCAAAUGGUUUCUAAAUAUCUUCGCAAUCAACUGUUGCUUAUGUGUCAUGUAAAGUUAACAUGGCAGAGCCAGAAAAAAUCUGGCAUGGAAAUGGGAGUCCAUUUAGCUCAAGGGUCUGAUCACAAGUGCAGUGUCUGGAAGCCUGUACUCUGGCAGCUUGUACAAUGGCUGGCCUUUAGAUUAAUAUAGGAAUGCAGAGCUACAAGUCCCUUAAUCUUCAUAAAGAAUGACAACCAUUCCUAAAUGGCUGAAGUCUCUGUGUUUUGUGUUUAUUCUUUCCUUCUCCUUUCUUCAUCAAAGUGGGAUUUAUCAGUUCUGAUUUUGUCCCGAUCAACCUCUACAGUCUUUUUCAUGUGUUGGUUACUUCUGUAGCUGGACAGAUCUGAGAAGGUGAUUCUCUUUGUUAUGAAGGAGACAUUUUAAAUCAAACUCUAGAAAGAAGAUAGCGAAAUUUUUGCUUUGGUGUUCCAGAGACCUCUGGGGUAUGCUGUCAUCCAGCUGUGUAGAGGGAGAAUUUUGCUAUUUCAGCUGCCAUUUACCAGCCCUGGAAUGGUGGUAAUGCAUCUCACAUAUUCAUUCAAAAUUAUUUACAGCCAUCCUCAAAAGUCCAGUAUGAUUUUACCGUAAGGCAGAUGAUCUUGUCUAAUUAAGUGGCCUGUCUACUUUCUGCGCAGUGCUGACAAGGUUAAGUUCAUUUAAAGCUGUAUUAUAAUUGAAUUAGCUUCUGUACAUUAUUUUCUGAGCAAAGACCUAGGACCUGUGGAGGCCAGCACUUCAAAACUUAGGAAAGUAAUACUUUUCCAGAGGCACAACAUUAAAAACAUCUGCUACAAAAAAGUGACUGAAUCUUUGCAAUUUAGAGAUCAAUUGAUUUCAGGUUAGCUUAUUUUGUUGGAGUGAGAGGCAAAGAGAUUGAAAUGAAUGAAAACUCCAGAUAGCCUAUACAAGUAGUUGAAAUCAGACUGCAAUAGUGUCAAGAUGCCAUAAUUCAUCUGUGAUUAUCUGCAGUCCAGCAAAACAACAGAGGUGAAGCCAAUCUGAUUCAUGACAUAGUACACUUCUUGCUUAUUUUGAAGGCUUGGAGCUGAACAGGCCAUUUUCUUGGUACUCUGGAGUGCUGCAAUAAGUAGCCCAUACGAGCUAUCUCUCUGUAUCUCCGCCAUGGUCUUUCUGCUCUUUUUAUUGCCAACUCUGUUUGCUCUAAACCCUUGUUGAUAUCUGGCAUGUUGUGAUCCUGACUACACCAUCUAUUCUCAUACUUAUCACCAUUAUAUCCACUCCCGUGAAAAUUUUUUAUUAGUGAACUUAAAUACGAAGUGGUCUUUGCCCUCCUGGGUAUAUCAGCUUUAUCCAUGAAAGUACUACUCUUUCUUUUAUUUCAUGGAAUUCUUAUCUGUCAUAAUAUUAGGGCCAGCUUUUGGAAAUAUGAAACCACUGAUGCUCAUUUCUAAAUCUAUGUACCAUCUUCUUGUACUUUUUUGAAAAAGGGUAUUUAGUCAUUCUCUGGUAUUUCUUGAAGUGCAUUUUUCCAGAAAUAAGGCACAUGGUUGCUGUCAACAAAAACCUGUAGCAAUCUUGGGGUUGUUUUCUCUACGAGUUGGAAGGAAAAAAAAAUACAUGUGUCUUUUGCAUCUGUCCUAACUCACAGCCGGUUCUGGAUCUUUUAGCUAUACUUCAAAUGUCCUGCUGUAUGAGCUUUUGAUGAGUAAAACAUGAUGUGAACCUUUCAUAUUUGCCUCUGAGGAAAAGAUAGAAACAGCUCUUUAUAUCUGAGGUUUGAUUUGACAGGGAAUUUUAGGACAUUUCAAUUUUAUAUCAGAAGUAAAAUGUACUCCCUAAACCACAAAACAUAUUUGGUUUGGGCCAUUGUAUCAUACACUGUAGAGGCAGAUACUCAAAAUUCAGUGAAAAUGAAGUGAUUCAUUGCCCAUCAAAUGCAAAUACAAAAUAAACCACAAAGAAUUCACCAUCAAUAAAGUAAGACAAGAAUUCUCUUCCACAAAUUCAGUUGUCUGAUAGUCAAAUCUGUAGUACAGAAACAUAGGCUUAGUCUCCAUGACAGUUUUCACUUAUAAAUGGGCACAUUUAUCCUUUCUCAAGAGACAGUUAUUUGAAUGCAAUAAUAAGUGAGACUGCUUAAAAUCCACAAAACUGAGAACUAUAAAAAGUUAGCAAUGGAGAAAAGUGUAACAGACAUAAAUGGCCUUGGUGCUCUUCAAAAGACAAUACCUCUUGUGAAUGGCAGCAACUUUUUCUAGUGUCCAUAAACCUAAAGGAAGAAAAUAUAGUGUUACGCUACAUCCAUGAUCAUUUUCAAGGCAAUGCAACUUGCAGAGGUUGUCAAGAAAGCCCAAAAUCCCCACAACCCCCACACCUCUAGCAUUCCACAUUCCACUUAUUUCACUCAGGGCUGCAUAUUUAUUUUGAGAUUAAUUUGGUACAUGUAGUGUACAUUUGCCGAGUUUUUUUUCCUAUUUAAAUCUUCAGUUCCAAAGCUAUGUUUUAAUCCUAUUACUGCUAAUUGAGUGAAGUCUGCAGUCUUUUUGAGUUAGGUGAAGUUCAAGUUGUAAUUGGUAUCAAAGAAAGGCAUAAUGCGAGAACUGAAUAUUAAUGUUUAACUCUUGCCAUUUUAUUAUUUCCACUUGAAAAUCACAGCAGUGGUUAAAAGACCUUUUUAUGAGUUCAUGGGGGUAGUGAAUUGGAGACUAUGGGAUGAGAUUUUUCAUUCAUGCAGCAAGAUUAACAAAAAUUGCUUUGUAAGAAGUGUAAAUGAAAUAUUAUACUGGUGCCCAGUAGUACUGGUUAUAGCUACAGGUCUCUGAGUAUUUCCAUUAUGAAAUUUUGCCUGUAGGUUAAGUAGCCGCACUGUAAAAUUUUGCUCAAGGCUAACACAGCAUACAAGAUUCUAACCCAGGACAUAUUUUGUUUCAAAUCUUCUAUUUAGUCUUCUGCAGAUAACUGGAAAGUGUGUCAGUUUUGGAUGACGUUUUGUAUUUGAGUACUUUUUAAAUGACUGUGAUUUUAAAGCAGAAUGUCUCAUAAGAUACACACACAAUCAUUGAUUAAUUGCUUGUGACUGAAAAUAAGGACAAAGACCACACAGGACAAAGACCACCCCUUUGAUUUCAGAUCCCUAAACAAGUACAUUUGUUUGCCUAAAAUAAGUUAUUCAAAGAGAAAAAUGGUUAAUUUGUUCAAAGGCCAAAGAAAUUAAAAUAAAAAUGGCCAUUGACUUGGUGGUUUAGGAAAGAACUUUUAGCACCUGAUUAAAGAAUAUUUAGAAAACAAGUUAAUGAAGACUUUAUGUAAGUAAUAUUUUCCUUUAUUAUUCUGAUUUUUUUCAUUGGGAAUUACAGGCUCCUUCUUCAAUCAUAUCCACAGUGCACAUUUACAAUUAUACCCUUAGGACUGCUAUAAUCAAUUAUUUGAGAUCAAACUUGAUAGAGACCACAACACAGGAAUCAUUCCAGCAGCAUAGUAGUAGCAACUGUAUUUCUCAGAACUGUAUCUUGCUGAAAUCUCAUGAGAACCAGAAAAAAAAUUGCCUGAAAGGAAGAAAAAUGAUAAAAAAAUAAUGCUGGAAGUCAGAGUAAACAAACAAAGUGAUGAAAACAUGGGAAGGAAGCAAAAAAGAGAUUAAAAAUUAGGCAGAGAGAAAAAUACUGAAAACAGCAGAGCAAAAAGAACACAGCUUGAAAUAUUGUAUCUCCACCAUUCACUUUACAUUAGAUGUGACAGAAUGUGAUAAUUGUUGCUUAUUUUUUCUCUUGAAAUUGUUGUUCAUCAUAAAAACAUUGCAGAUAGUCUCAACAAGUGUAUAACUAACCAUGGUAGCAAAGCUGGUUCCAGAGUGAGAUGUUUGAUUCUAAACACCUUUUCUGUGUACUGUGAUUUCAGACUGAUGUACAUAUAAUCAAAGCUUGGUUGGUCUAUUCACACACACCAUUUUUGCCAUUAAUAUUUUAUGUUAAUUUACUGCAGAGUUUGUUGCAUUGAAAAACUAGCAAAAUUGGCCCCCCAACUGGAGUCCAUACAGGUCUAGUAACUUUGUGAGGUGCAUUAAUAUGACUGUAGUCAUAGACAAUUUUUUUUUUUAAUAUGAUAUUAUGAAACUAAAACUAGAUUGGAACCACACAAUAAAUAUAAGCUUUUAAGCUUGGAUUAUACCUUCCAUUAGUGAUGUUACAAAUCAUGGACAUAUUUCUAAAGGAGAACAGACUCCACAUUUUCUUCAUAUCUAAACCAUAAAUAAUUGAAAUGUAUCCUGAUGUUUUAAUAUUGAAAGAGGCAGAUUACAGUUAGAGGCCGAAGGGUGUGAAUAAUUAAAAAUAGGUUGUACUAGGUCUUGAGAUAAGCUAUGGUAUCUAACACAUAGAGAAUGAAAAAAAAAAAAUUGAAUGUUGCUACAACAAAUUCCAACUGACUUAGUGACAAUUUUGCCCUGAAAAUGCCUUGAAAUAUUUGUCUUGAAAAAUCCAGUGUGGCUGAAUACAAAUAAACAGUGUCACCCACUUCAUGCUACUGAAAAACAUGGAUUUUGUGGCUUAAGCGAUAAUAUUAAUAGUUAAGACAUUUCAUAGGGUGUGCUUGAAGUAUCAUCCAGUUCAUCCAAGCUCCAAACUUAGUUGUGUCUCUAGAUUUUUCCUUUAGUUAGUAGAAAUGCCAACAACAUUAGAAUAUGAACAUUCAGUUCAUACCUUUUGGGGACUGGGGCUCAUUGCCUCCAGCAUCCUUUUGUAUCUGUUUAAGUUAAGUGAUUUUCUGGCCCCUACUGACAUUUUGACAACAUCAUAUAAAUUUUAAAGUUUCACCUCCCACUGUCUCACUGUGAGGCAGGUGUCACAUUUUACAGGUGAAAAUUUAAGAUGCAGAGACACAAAUUCAGCUCCUCAUAGUGCAAGGCUUAGCUUCCACAAAUACUUAAAUGGAUCCAGCUUUUUAGUCAUGUCAUUAAUAGGUGUCUAAUCAAAGUUAGCUGUCCAAGUCUCCCUCUGUGAUGAAUGUUAAGAGACAGGCAUCUCCAGAGAAAUAAAAAAAAAAAAAAAAAAAAAAAAUUCCACCUUUAUAUAAAAUCUCUCAGAGGUAUGUGAAGGUGAUUCACUUUCUGGGGGUCUUUUCUCUUGCUAUUGUCCAAAAGACAGACUUUUUCUUAGCUUAGACUAGAAAACUAUCUCUCAGAGAUGAAUGUUACUUGUCAUGAAUGCUCAAAAUUAUCCAGGGACCCAUGUUCAGGUAGGAAAUUGCACCAGACUCUUUGAAGUCUUUGUGUAGCAGGUAACCACUGAGCCAUUCUUCUUGCAACCCAGAUGAUCUUCCUCCAGAGACUCAGUCCACUUCGCUUACAUCCAACUGAAGCACAAAGUCUUUUCUUCCCUUCAAGUCAGUAGCACGUACUUCAUCCUUUCACAGCAGGAUCAGCACCUAUUACAACAAAUGCUGCUCCACAAAUGACUGUGGGAUGCUAAUGGUCAUAUUUUAAGACAGUAAUAUGGUCAGCUUUCUGACCUGCUUGACAGUAUGUUCAUCGUACAGCCUUUUGCUCCUCUGGUGCUGACCACUGGUAGAAGUAGGACAAGAUGAACUUGUAAAUGUGACGUCUUCCAAUAUAUAACACAAAAUAUUUAAUGUUAAAUGCUGUGUGUUAUUCAUCUGGAGUAUUCACAAUGUGAAAAGUUUUCCACAGUAGUUCUGCAAUAAAACAAAUGUAACUUCCCUGCAGGCUGGCUAAGAAUUGGCACCUGCAAACUGGAAGACCUGGGACCAAUUCCAAAACCCGCUGAAAACGAUAUGACUUUAUUGAGCUUUAUGUUGAGUCUACAGAAGCAGCAUUUUUAGAGUUACAAGAAGCAGCAUUCUGUGUUCAAAAAGAAAAUAACUCUGAAAUAUUUUGAAAGCAUUCCAGCCAGUGAUACUUUCAGGAGACUUGGUCUGAUCAGACACUCUGCCGAUUUGCAUUUAAAUCAUUAUUAAAAAAACUCGGUAUGGAAGUUAUUAUUUUGGAUCACAAGUAACAAAACUUAAGGGGAAUCCAGCUCUUUAAAGCCCUGUGUCUGGGUGAAUAAAAUUGAACACACAGAAAAUGAAAAAAAACCCCAAACAAAUCUGUGAAACUUUUCUGUUCUCUUAUUUGAAAUCUUUAUACCAGGUCAGGUGCACAGGGCUAUUUUAAGCACACUUUCUACUACAAGAAGUGCUGAUGACAUUUCAGAAGCAGUUCCCCCACUGGUGUGCUACAGUUAAUGGGCCACUCUUGAGAUAACAGCAGUAGUGCUUCUAAAAAUGUGAUGAUCCUCUGCAAAUAGAAACCUCUUUCUCUGCAUUAUGCCCACUGAAUCAAAAAACAAUACUAAAACACUUCUCUGUGGAACACAGAUUUGGCAGAAAUAAAGCUUAACUGGACUUUAUUCUCAAAAAUGACGAAAUUAAAAGAGAAUCUACUAGAAGGGGUAGGCUCUUGCCAAUCAUUUUUUCUCCUUAUUAGAUAUUACCCAACAUAUAAAUAUAUGUAUCACUCCCUCCAUGUAUAUAUGUAUCUGUUUAAAAUAUAUUCUAAAUGUGUGUAUGAAUAUGUGGAAGUGUAUAUAAAAGUCAAAAGCUGUGAGAGAUGAACCAUUGUCAUACGCUGCCAUAAAUAUACAUUAGAGUCCCCAGAUCUCUGCUCCUUAAGAGUCUAAUCUCUGGCUGUUCCCAAUGGAUCAACAGUUUUAUUACAGAAAUUCCCUCAAACAUAGCACCUGGUAGGCAAACAAACAAGUAACAUAUGACUUCUGUUAAGGUGGUUGAAAUACAGUAUGUACUACAUUCAGAUUUUUAUUUAAAUUAAAAAAAAAAAAAAAAAAAGCAAGUGGCUAGAAUGGAACCACUGGUUAUUGUUGCAGUACAUAUUAAACAUUAAACUCACAGAUCAAAGCCUAGAUAAGGUACAUUAAGUUGAGAUUCUCAAAAAUGUCUACAUGACUUAGAAAUGCGGUCUCUAUGACUUCAGUUAAUUAAGGAGUGCCAAAUUAUGCAGCAAACAGGUGAAUAUAUAAUUUUCUUCAAUGGUAAUACUAAAUCUCUCUGGUGUGUCAACAACAUUCAUGUGGUUAACCUGAAUUACAUUACAAUUUUUUUUUCUACGCUUUGUUCUUUCACAGUUGGAAGAUGAAAACGGAUUUUCUUUAUAGCUCUAUGAAGUUCCUCUAGAUAUAAGCAUAUUCUUAGUUUCUUAUGGAGUUUCCUUGCUGUCAUUGUUGUCCAUAUGCAGCCAUUUGGUUCACUGCUUUUCUUCGCAGCUCUUAAGUUCAUCAUGCAUGUUAGGUCUUUCAGAAAGUAUUUCUGACAUACUGAAAAGGGAAUUUUCUCAGGUGAAGUAUUGAACAGUGCUCUUCAAGACCAACAAAUAUAAUAAACAUCUUUAAUGCAUUAUGUUUCAGUAAGAAAAUCACUAUAAUUUCAAUUAUUAGAUGUUAGUUAGCAACUAGAUCACACAUGACACAGACAGUAUAUUUGAACAAAUGUUAAUAUUUCAAAAACUUCAUAGUUAGUGUAGAUUGAUUCCUAGCAGAUGUUAAAGGUGUGUGUGUUUUCUUUCCUUUUUUUUUUUUUUUUUUUCUCUCAUGUAUUUUUAAUAACAGUGUUUUCUGCAUCAGAUUUGUGGCUUUGAAUCAUGUGUUUGGAUGUUUGUUUGUUUGGUUUUUCUUUUUUUUCUCCUAUACAUGCCCCUUGCCUAAUGCAUUUUCUGCCUCUUCUGAUUGUUAUUUGCUACAUAUCAAAACAACUGAAGUUAUAUUUUCAACCUUAUAUCUUCAUACCUUUCAGUUAAUGUUAACAUUAGAGAGUUGUUCCACAAGAAUUAUUCACAUCAUGAGAAAACACAGUGUUUUUUCAAAAUAAUAGUAUUUGAUUAAAGAGUUUUAUUAUUUCUGUAUUGUUUCAUUUUCAUAUUGUUGCAGAUAUGUGAUCUUGUAGCUUGUAUGUUUUCUGGGAUUCAAAGGAUACUGUAGUGACUUUAUAACUUCUCUGGAAUAGGUUGAGAGUUUUGUAUGUUUGGUGGAGACCUCUAAAAUUUCUAUAAAAUCAGAUUAAAUAAAUAUAUUUGGUUUUCUAUUUUCUAAGGAAGUGUACUAUUAAACUUCAGCUUUUCUUCUGCUAUCUCUCAUGGGUAUGAAGUCUCUGGUGCUUCUUGAGGUUGUGUUGUAUUAAACAAAUAAGAAACUUUCGAACAGGCCUCAUAGUGAAGCAGUGUUCAGUGAGGCUUGGUUUCAAAGUGGCAUCCAUCACUUUCCCAAGGUAGCACUAUUGGAUCAUUUUUAGGACAACUUUCAAAAGAAAUGUGGCGUUUUUUGAUGGUCAUUGCCAUCUGUUUGCUCAUCACCAACCUUUCUUUCCUCCCACAUCAAUAGUUCUUGAACCUGCAAGGGAAUUUCAACAGAAGUGCCUCGAAGUGUCAUGGAGAUCCACAGGUGGGUAGGGAAAAAAACCAUAAAUUGUACAACAGAGAAAGAAAACUCUAAUGACUCUGUGGAGUUGUAAGCAAGGGGCUGUGCAUAGCCUGUUGGGCUCAAGUGGGACUCUGGAUCAGGAGCCCAUGUGCUGCAAGCCCCCUUCCCACCAUUGGAAGGUGCAGUGCAGUGAUCAUGAGGAACAAUCCAAAACAGGCUAACUAGGAGUCCUGGCAUAGAAAGCUUAAAAGGAAAUAAAACAGAAAUCCAUGGGAAACAGCACUGUAUCAGUUUAGUUAUUCAUGGACAAGCUUGUUAAUAUGCAACAUUGAAAUUAUAUUAUGUAUAUGUGACAAUGUCAUGAGGGACAACUGCUACAUUUUAUUUAUCAUAUUUCUUCAGCUCACAUUCAUUUUGAGGCUCAUCGUCUGUGUCUAUUUUUGUACUGCAGGUUGUUAAGGUAGUGUAACAAACCAAUGCUUUUUACUGGUGUGUUGAAUUUUGAACCAGGCUUUGUAUUUAGUUGCUAUGCUUACAGUGUUCCACAUGUGAAAAUAGACACCUUUUCCUCUGAAAGCUUGAGCUGCCUCAUUUACUUCAUCAGAGUCCUGUGCAGUGCAAAAAGUUCAUGCAAAAUGUAUAGUAAUAAAAUUAUUGUUAUUAUUAUUAUCCAGACAAAGUUCCUAAUCAAUGACAAUAAUUUAAAAGCAAAAUGGUAGGCUUUUGCCACUGUUUAAAUUAAAUAUACUAGUCAUUAACUAAGAGAGAGGAUCUAAAAAUAAGAUGCAAUUGCCAGGGAAAAAGCUCAAUUUCUGAAUCGCGUUACUGAAAGAAGAAAGAUGCAUUAAUGUGAUGAGUUUCAGAACCAUAUAAUAUUCUUGUUGUAUAUACCAGAGAGGUAACUUUGGACUGCAGCAUUAUAAAUGAAUUUAAGAAGAAGUUAGAUAUAACCCUUAAAGUAUCUUAUUUAUUUUAUUACUGAGAAGAUAUUUGUUUCUGCUUUGGAAAACCAGAAGGUUUUAGCCCAAUGAUGCUCAGUUCAUACAAGGUUCAGAUACUCAUGCUUAAGUUCACCAGGGCAACAUAAUUUAUAUACAGUUAAGAAUCUAGCUGAGAAUAACUUGGACUUCUUUUCUGAGCAAUUUUGUUGCUUUGUGCUUUUCUUCAAGUUCAAAUCAAUUGCUCUUGUAGACAAUCAACCAUUGUUUCUCUUCUCUUCUCUUCUCUUCUCUUCUCUUCUCUUCUCUUCUCUUCUCUUCUCUUCUCUUCUCUUCUCUUCUCUUCUCUUCUCUUCUCUUCUCUUCUCUUCUCUUCUCUUCUCUUCUCUUCUCUUCUCUUCU
This is a long non-coding RNA of Columba livia (rock pigeon), 18879 nucleotides long. RefSeq lists it as uncharacterized. The record is from RefSeq and is a predicted model, not a curated record. The transcript is spliced from 2 exons. Lineage: Eukaryota; Metazoa; Chordata; Aves; Columbiformes; Columbidae.